RNAcentral lists this transfer RNA (65 nucleotides) under Pelophylax epeiroticus (Epirus pool frog). RNAcentral describes it as "tRNA-Cys". Lineage: Eukaryota; Metazoa; Chordata; Amphibia; Anura; Ranidae. The record is from RNAcentral.
GGUCCUGGGGUGUUAACACGUGCGGUUGCAAACCGCAAAACGCAGGGUAAUACCUGCCGGGACUU